This is a long non-coding RNA of Zingiber officinale, 489 nucleotides long. RefSeq lists it as uncharacterized. The record is from RefSeq and is a predicted model, not a curated record. NCBI's taxonomy places the organism in Eukaryota, Viridiplantae, Streptophyta, Magnoliopsida, Zingiberales, Zingiberaceae. The transcript has 2 exons.
UUAAUUUUCCCGUGACCUUUCUCUCCUCCCGAUUCUGUCCGCGUGCGGCGCUUCUGCUCGGGCGACGGCGAAGAAGGAGCUGGGUUUUGGUCUCCGGCAGCCGGCCUAGGAUCAAAGCUGAGAGCUUUCUACACCAUUGUGAUCCUCUCGUCGAGGAGAGCUUGUGGGCACGAGGAGGAACCGGGAACUCAAGUAUCUCGGAAACCCUAGAGUUGCCUUUCUCCUUCGGUAGUGAGCUCAAGAACAGCAAGAUACAGGAAAGGAAAAGAUAUAGAAAGGAAGGCGACAAGGUGGCGCGGAUGGUGUGUGAUGUCAGGACUAUGGAAGCCUUGGGACUAGGAAAGGAGUUCUAAUUUUAGUUUCCACAUUUUAGUUAUUGUAAACAUUUGAGUUGUAUUUUAAGUGCAUGUCAUUUGAGAUUAUUCUGUUUAGAUUGCAUGUAGGAUGAGUUCGGUUUAGUAAGUAGAUAUUUGUGUGUUGUUUUCUUUA